GAGGCCUCCGUGUAGGCAGCAGUGAAGCCUGAACUCCAGUAGGGCCCAAGCCAGCCAGGAAGGAGGAGGCAGCCAGAGAGGCCUCCACCGUUCUCUGCAGCAGAAGACCCCCUGCUGCCAGGUUUGAAUGUCAGCUUGACCUCAACUACAAUCUGACCUUCACAAACCACAUUAAGAUGCCAUUUUGGAUGCCUGGGGCCUCUGGUGCAAUAAAGCUACAGUGAAGACACUGACCUCUCAACAUCCUGGAGACCUCCAGUUAUUUUUAUAAUGGGCCCCAAACUCACCAGUUUUAAUUCUGAAAAUGCUUUCAUCCUAGUCAGCACCCAGGAUUCCAGCCUGGACACUGGCUAUGAUGGAACUCUGUGAUAUCUCUACAUUGGAGGAGGAACUGACUUCAUAGCCACAUCUCAGCCGUGGUAAGACUUAAAAAACAACAACAACAACAACAAAACAAUGGUGCUUUGGCGGGGCAGGGCAGGUAUCAUCGGCAUGCUGGAAGACUCCGAGGAGGAAUUGGAGAUUGAGACAGAGCAAACAGCAGAUGAGGGUGGGCAAGGACCAGAGCUUGCUAAGGAGAGUGGGUCUGCCAUACAGAGAAUAGAAGAAGAAUUACAGCUAGGUGAGGCAGCUCUUGUGGAGGAGGUGCAACCAAUCCCAGCUGUGGAGAGGUGCCGAUCCAAAAGACAACAAGAGCUAAAAAUUCCCAUGCAUAAAACAGGCAAAGCUACUGACUCAGCAAUUCUUAAUUGACAGCACCGGGGGGCUCAGCCUAUUUAAAAAGCCUGUAACAGAACUUCCCUGCUGAUAGCAACAACAGUUUCUUCCGUGCUACCUUAUUGCAUUCCUGUGUUUUUCCUUGAAAGUGUUUAGACCUUGGACUGACUGACCUUGCCUCUGGAUUUCGCUUUGGACCUUGUUGAAUUUUGGAUUGAUGGACUGGUUUGGACAAUUUAUUCCCAUAGAAGUUUGUUAUUCUCCUUAUGCUUCUGGCUGCGUAUGGCUAAGCCCGGCAGAUUAGCAGGCUCCCCCAGAGGAGGUUUGUGGGGGGGCCUCAUGGGGGGGGGCUCAUGGCUGGGCGGUUCAGGCAUGCAAAUUACCUUGGUGCAUCCCUGUGUUCACCUUCAUGGAGCCAAAUUAGACAUGUGAUGCUAAGCAUGGAGCUGCUGCAACCAAAAAUGGUACAUAGAAAUCUAGUUCCUCAUUCCCUUUGUAAAAAAUAUCUAGCAGAAGUUAGUUGCUCAUAUCCUGAGGUUCUGCAUUUGCCCGCCCUCUGCUAGUGACAGCCAAUGACUUGGAGGCAGUGCAAGGCAAGGCAAGAAGUUGUGACAGCAGCCAUUAAUUUCUUAUAAAUGUUAUGUAGGAGAGUUGGAUGUGCAGCUACCAAUUUUGGUAGCAGCAGAUGCAUGGUUGCAUAUUAUUUGUUUAAACUGAUUUUGUAAAGAUUUAACUGCUCUCAUGUCAUUUCUCAGUUAAAGAUUUAUCUUCUCUCAUGCCA
Hemicordylus capensis (graceful crag lizard) is the source of this 1498-nucleotide long non-coding RNA. RefSeq lists it as uncharacterized. The record is from RefSeq and is a predicted model, not a curated record. Lineage: Eukaryota; Metazoa; Chordata; Lepidosauria; Squamata; Cordylidae. The transcript is spliced from 3 exons.